AGAGUUUGAUCCUGGCUCAGGAUGAACGCUGGCGGCGUGCCUAACACAUGCAAGUCGAGCGAAGCAUAGGUGCUUGCACUUAUGACUUAGCGGCGGACGGGUGAGUAACGCGUGGGUAACCUGCCCUGUACAGGGGAAUAACAGUUAGAAAUGACUGCUAAUGCCCCAUAAGCCGACGUAAUGGCAUCUUUAUGUCGGAAAAGAUUUAUCGGUACAGGAGGGACCCGCGUCUGAUUAGCUGGUUGGUGAGGUAACGGCCCACCAAGGCGACGAUCAGUAGCCGACCUGAGAGGGUGAUCGGCCACAUUGGAACUGAGACACGGUCCAAACUCCUACGGGAGGCAGCAGUGGGGAAUAUUGCACAAUGGGGGAAACCCUGAUGCAGCAACGCCGCGUGAAGGAAGAAGUAUUUCGGUAUGUAAACUUCUAUCGACAGGGAAGAAACAAAUGACGGUACCUGAAUAAGAAGCACCGGCUAAAUACGUGCCAGCAGCCGCGGUAAUACGUAUGGUGCAAGCGUUAUCCGGAUUUACUGGGUGUAAAGGGUGAGCAGGCGGUUAUGCAAGUCAUACGUGAAAUGUCGGGGCUUAACCCCGGCCUGCGUAAGAAACUGUAUAACUUGAGUGCAGGAGAGGCAAGCGGAAUUCCCAGUGUAGCGGUGAAAUGCGUAGAUAUUGGGAAGAACACCGGGUGGCGAAGGCGGCUUGCUGGACUGUAACUGACGCUGAGUCACGAAAGCGUGGGGAGCGAACAGGAUUAGAUACCCUGGUAGUCCACGCCGUAAACGAUGAGUGCUAGGUGUUGGCGAGAGAUCGUCGGUGCCGCAGCAAACGCAAUAAGCACUCCACCUGGGGAGUACGGCCGCAAGGCUGAAAACUCAAAGGAAUUGACGGGGACCCGCACAAGCGGUGGAGCAUGUGGUUUAAUUCGAAGCAACGCGAAGAACCUUACCUAAACUUGACAUCUCUCUGACCAUCAAUGUAAUGUUGACUUCCUUCGGGACAAAGAUGACAGGUGGUGCAUGGUUGUCGUCAGCUCGUGUCGUGAGAUGUUGGGUUAAGUCCCGCAACGAGCGCAACCCUUACUUUCAGUAGCCAUCAUUAAGUUGGGCACUCUGGAAGGACUGCCGUGGAUAACACGGAGGAAGGUGGGGAUGACGUCAAAUCAUCAUGCCCCUUAUGUUUAGGGCUACACACGUGCUACAAUGGCUGUUACAAAGUGAAGCGAACUUGUGAAAGUGAGCAAACCACAAAAAAGCAGCCCCAGUUCGGAUUGUAGUCUGCAACUCGACUACAUGAAGUUGGAAUCGCUAGUAAUCGCGAAUCAGAAUGUCGCGGUGAAUACGUUCCCGGGUCUUGUACACACCGCCCGUCACACCAUGGGAGUUGGAAGCGCCCGAAGUCUGUGACCUAACCGCAAGGAAGGAGCAGCCGAAGGUGAAGCCAGUGACUGGGGUGAAGUCGUAACAAGGUAGCCGUAUGGGAAGGUGCGGCUGGAUCACCUCCUUUCU
Molecule: ribosomal RNA, 1510 nt
Filed under: uncultured rumen bacterium
Lineage: Bacteria
Description: bacterial SSU rRNA
Rfam family: Bacterial small subunit ribosomal RNA
Source: RNAcentral